UCGUCAGCUAGUCGACUCAUGUCUAGUAUAAGCACUUGUACUGUGAAACUGCGAAUGGCUCAUUAAAUCAGUUAUCGUUUAUUUGAUUGUACCUUACUACAUGGAUACCUGUGGUAAUUCUAGAGCUAAUACAUGCGAAAGAUCCCGACUUCACGGAAGGGAUGUAUUUAUUAGACUAAAAACCAAUGCGGGCCUCGGUCCGCUUGCUUGGUGAUUCAUGAUAACUUUUCGAAUCGCAUGGCCUUGCGCCGGCGAUGUUUCAUUCAAAUUUCUGCCCUAUCAACUGUCGAUGGUAAGGUAGUGGCUUACCAUGGUUGCAACGGGUGACGGAGAAUUAGGGUUCGAUUCCGGAGAGGGAGCCUGAGAAACGGCUACCACAUCUAAGGAAGGCAGCAGGCACGAAAAUUACCCAAUCCCGAUUCGGGGAGGUAGUGACAAGAAAUAACGGUACGGGGCCUUUAUAGGUCUCGCAAUCGGAAUGAGAACAAUUUAAAUCCUUUAACGAGGAUCAAUUGGAGGGCAAGUCUGGUGCCAGCAGCCGCGGUAAUUCCAGCUCCAAUAGCGUAUAUUAAAGUUGUUGCAGUUAAAAAGCUCGUAGUUGGAUUUCGGAGCGGGCCCGUCGGUCCACCGCAAGGUGAGCUACUGGCGGGUCUGUUCUUCUUCGCAAAGACUGCAGGUGCACUUCGCUGUGUGCUUGUCGGAUUUGUGACGUUUACUUUGAAAAAAUUAGAGUGUUCAAAGCAGGCUUUCGCUUGAAUACAUGAGCAUGGAAUAAUGGAAUAGGACUUUGGUUCUAUUUUGUUGGUUUCUAGGACCGAAGUAAUGAUUAAGAGGGACAAACGGGGGCAUCUGUAUUUCGUUGUCAGAGGUGAAAUUCUUGGAUUUGCGAAAGACAAACAACUGCGAAAGCACUUGCCAAGAGUGUUUUCAUUAAUCAAGAACGAAAGUUAGAGGAUCGAAGACGAUCAGAUACCGUCCUAGUUCUAACCAUAAACGAUGUCGACUAGGGAUCGGCGGGCGUUAUUUUAUGACCCCGUCGGCACCUUACGGGAAACCAAAGUUUUUGGAUUCCGGGGGUAGUAUGGUUGCAAAGCUGAAACUAAAGGAAUGACGCAACCAGAGCUAUGAUGUGUUGCCAACGGGGG
Molecule: ribosomal RNA, 1145 nt
Filed under: Hydra polymorphus
Lineage: Eukaryota; Metazoa; Cnidaria; Hydrozoa; Anthoathecata; Hydridae
Description: SSU rRNA
Rfam family: Eukaryotic small subunit ribosomal RNA
Source: RNAcentral